Molecule: long non-coding RNA, 1603 nt
Organism: Fukomys damarensis (Damara mole-rat)
Lineage: Eukaryota; Metazoa; Chordata; Mammalia; Rodentia; Bathyergidae
Exons: 3
Source: RefSeq, a predicted model, not a curated record
UUCCUGCUGGAUACUGCAGGCUCCUGUCGGGGUCGCCUGCUGUGAGGACAGAAGAGCAACACGGACCGGCACUUGGGGCCUGGCCUGGGGCUGGUGGUCAGGGGCGCAGCCCUGUGCUGAACAGAUGAGCAGCUGGGGUGCCUUCUGCCCAACUCCAUCGUUAUCCCCAGCCCUAUCCCCGCCCAUUCAUCAUCUCCCAGCUGGGAACAUGAAGCAGAUUUUUUCCAGGGAAAAAUCCUUAAGGAAGGGAGUGUGAUCGAGGGAUUAGGGGCUGGCUGGGACCCAGUCACUCCUGGUCCUCUUGGCUUCCCACAGGGACAUGAUCCCCGCCUGUGCUCUUCCUGGGCAAGAUGGGCAACCCGGGUGCAACCUGGCCCUGAUACCCCCUGGCCCACAGCCCCAACUCAGCCCGGAUUGCUGGAGGUCUGGGGUGUGCAGGGAGCCAGGCAGGGCAGGCUGGGGAGCCUGGAGAAUGUUUCCACGCCGAGCAGCUGUUGUGAUCGCUGCCAAUUCCCCUCUCACUAAUCCCAGGAUUAGAGAAACAGAGUCCGGGAAUACAGGAGCCCGACUCAGGCGGUGGCGCAGGGAGCAGCCGCGUGCAGCUGGACCAUGUUCCCUGCCCGUGGUCCGUGGUUACAGCAGGACACAGCACCCGGGAUGUAGGGACCUGCCGUGAGAAAGGGCCCUCUCCUUGCCCCCCAUGCAGUACCCCUGGCGUCUUGAGCCUUGGGGGGUUGUGAGGCUCUGUGGAGAGUGUGCGGGCCUCAAACCUGUGACAGCAGCCAUGACUGUCCCACUGCGGUGUCCCCGGUAGAUGCACGGAGUAGCCCCAUGGGUCACAUCCGGUGCUGCAGGAGGGUAAACACAGGUGAAGCCUGUGUCUGUGCCCCUAUCCAAGCCUGUGAGCCCGGGCCCCCAGGUCCAUCUUCCAUCCACUUCCGGGGCAGUUGGGGUCCUGCCUGGCCUGCUUUUUGCCACACCUCUUGCCCCCCUUCUCCUAAAGUACUUUCUCUGCACUGUCCUUGCUCAGGUACCUUCUGGGCUCCCGCAGGGCACUCCAGGCCCUUGUCACCGAGUCCUGACUCGGCCCUGGUUGAUGUCCCCACAGCACCGGCCUCCUCCCGCCUCCUCCCUGGACUUCUGAGCAGCCGGCCCCAGGCCCCCAUCUCCCUCCCAGCGGAUAUAACAAGUCACAAACAAACCCGAUCUCCAGCUGUGGCCUAGAGGAGGCCAAUCAAUAAUGGCCCUAACGCGAUUACGGUGAAUUGGCUUGGGGAAGAAGCAGAUGCAGUGUAGAUGGGACAGGAGGCAGCCAGGGGGACAGAGCACGCUGAGAACUGUGCCAUGCUGCACGCAGCGCCCACACCGGACGGUUCACCAGGCUCUGCUCCACAGAAAUCUCAGAAGAAGCUUAAAACUACAAAACAGCAGUAAAGGAAGGCAGAUGUCACUUUCCAGCUCCACUGGCCGCUCCAACAUGGGGCCCAGUGGGUGGGGCAGAGGCCCAGGGCUGCGUCCCUUCUGCCUUCCUCCCAUCACCCACCUGGGCCACAUCCUCUCCGCCCACCGGGGUACCCACAGCCAUGCGCUCUGCUCAGCAGCG